AUGUGCUGCACUUGGCUGCAUUUUGAAAGCAUGUUUAGAAGCAUCUUUUGGCCUUUACUCCUCUUCUUUGCUAUCUGCCGCUUGCUUGCUGGAGUGGAGAGGAUGAACUAUGCUGAGGGCUAUGAAGCUGAAGUACCAUGGAAAGCAGAAGGUGCUAUAAGCCCUUUCCCUGGAGAGUGUAACAACACAAUUCUUGCAUAUUCAGGAAUCACAGAUUUUUCUCAGAAAUUUAAACCAUUUUGCUGCAGGAUUUCAUGAAGGACCAUGGAUCACUGCAGUAGAGAAGUACCAUGGAUCACUUCCGCUGGCAGUUCUGCCCAGCUGUUAAUUACUUCUACACUAUGAAAUGUUCAUAGUUAGACUGCAUGAAUAAUUAAACUAUGUAGCCAAACAGUCUGAAAUAGAUAGAUUGCAUGAAAGUGAAAAACCUAAAUUUGUGUGUGAUGUGUGACAAAAUAUUCCAUUCAAGAGAAGAUGAUUUAUUAAUUACUUAGUUAUCAGCAUAUUUAAGAACAUGAAGAAUAUAAGACGAAUGAGAUUCACAAAUGAAAAUAAAUAUUUCUUUUUUUUCUUCCUUUUUUUUUUU
RNAcentral lists this long non-coding RNA (586 nucleotides) under Anas platyrhynchos platyrhynchos (common mallard). RNAcentral describes it as "lncRNA (ENSAPLG00000019689.1)". The record is from RNAcentral. Lineage: Eukaryota; Metazoa; Chordata; Aves; Anseriformes; Anatidae.